AGCGAACGCUGGCGGCAAGCUUAACACAUGCAAGUCGAACGAUGUAGCAAUACAUAGUGGCGGACGGGUGCGUAACACGUGGGAAUCUGCCUUUAGGUGGGGGAUAACUCAGGGAAACUUGAGCUAAUACCGCAUGAUAUCUUCGGAUCAAAGAUUUAUCGCCUAAAGAUGAGCCCGCGGCAGAUUAGCUAGUUGGUGGGGUAAUGGCCUACCAAGGCAACGAUCUGUAGCUGGUCUGAGAGGAUGACCAGCCACACUGGGACUGAGACACGGCCCAGACUCCUACGGGAGGCAGCAGUGGGGAAUAUUGGGCAAUGGGCGCAAGCCUGACCCAGCUAUGCCGCGUGAAUGAUGAAGGCCUUAGGGUUGUAAAGUUCUUUUACCAGGGACGAUAAUGACGGUACCUGGAGAAAAAGCUCCGGCUAACUUCGUGCCAGCCGCCGCCGUAA
Molecule: ribosomal RNA, 449 nt
Filed under: uncultured bacterium
Lineage: Bacteria
Description: partial 16S ribosomal RNA
Rfam family: Bacterial small subunit ribosomal RNA
Source: RNAcentral